GACGAACGCUGGCGGCGCGCUUAACACAUGCAAGUCGAGCGAGAACCAGUCCUUCGGGACUGGGGAAAGCGGCGAACGGGUGAGUAACACGUGGGUAAUCUGCCCUCGGCACUGGGAUAGCCCGGGGAAACCCGGAUUAAUACCGGAUAGCCUUUCGAGCCUUCGGGCUCGUCAGAAAAGGUGGCUUCGGCUUCCGGCUGAGGAUGAGCCCGCGGCGGAUUAGCUUGUUGGUGGGGUAAUGGCCUACCAAGGCGACGAUCCGUAGCUGGUCUGAGAGGACGAUCAGCCACACUGGGACUGAGACACGGCCCAGACUCCUACGGGAGGCAGCAGUGGGGAAUCUUGCGCAAUGGGCGAAAGCCUGACGCAGCGACGCCGCGUGCGGGAAGAAGGCCUUCGGGUUGUAAACCGCUUUCAGGAGGGACGAAGCCACUCGGGUUAAUAGCCCAGAGGGUGACGGUACCUCCAGAAGAAGCCCCGGCUAACUACGUGCCAGCCGCCGCAGUAA
Molecule: ribosomal RNA, 508 nt
Filed under: uncultured bacterium
Lineage: Bacteria
Description: partial 16S ribosomal RNA
Rfam family: Bacterial small subunit ribosomal RNA
Source: RNAcentral